Molecule: transfer RNA, 82 nt
Filed under: Neocallimastix californiae
Lineage: Eukaryota; Fungi; Neocallimastigomycota; Neocallimastigomycetes; Neocallimastigales; Neocallimastigaceae
Also listed under: 1 other name
Rfam family: tRNA
About the family: Transfer RNA (tRNA) molecules are approximately 80 nucleotides in length. Their secondary structure includes four short double-helical elements and three loops (D, anti-codon, and T loops).
Source: Rfam by way of RNAcentral
GUCACUUUGACGGAGUGGUUAACCCGGUGGCCUGCUAAGCCAUUUCCCUUUGGGAUAGUAGGUUUGGGUCCUGCAGGUGACG